AUGGCGGGUCUGAAUGGGAGCAUUUCCACUCGCUUCUAUAGCCCCCUGCCAGGCAUUUGUAAGAUGAUUUGUGGCAAAUUUGUUGGAUCAAUAUGGAUGCCGGAGGUGAGGCUCCUCUUUCUGUGUGGGAGCACCGCUUGGUUCCUCGCGGCCGAGUUAAAGCGGAUCUGUUUGAUAUUUUUUAAUUCAAAGAUACAGUUCUAGAAGGAAACCUUUGGAUUAUAGUUUUCUUUUAAAUAUUUUUUAUUAAGUAAUUAUUUUUUUUUUAAGUGUCUCCACCAAAAUUUAUGUAGUGUUAUUAUAUAUAAUAUGUUCAAAAGUUCGGGAUCAGUAAUGUGUUUAUACUUUAAAGUUUUUGAACUAAGUCUCUUAUGCUUAUCAAAGCUGCAUUUAUUUGAUUAAAAAAAUGCAGUAAAAACAGUAAUACUGUGAAUUAUUAUUACAAUUUAAAAUAACUGUUUUCUAUUUUAAUAUAUUUUUUUAAUAUAAUUUAUUUCUGUGAUCAAAGCUGAAUUUUCAGCAUCAUUACUCCAGUCUUCAGUGUCACAUGAUCCUUCAGAAAUCAUUCUAAUAUUCUGAUUUGCUGAUCUGUGCUGGAAACAGUUGUGCUGCCUAAUAUUUUUUGGAAACUUGUGAUACUUUUUUCAAGAUUUUUUGAUGAAAGACAAGUUUAAAACUACAGUAUAUAUUCAAAAUAGAAAUUGCUUUGAUAAAAUGUUUAUACUUGGCACUUUUUAGAUUUAUCUGAUUUUUAAGAUAUUCUCUGGAAUAUCCUUAUUUGUCCUCAUUUGAUCCAAACUGUAACCAAAGAAAGCAAAACGUUACAGUUUUCUCACCUGAACAAUACUGAUGAUGUAUUUACUAAACAGCCCAAAAUAUAUGAGGCACGGAUGUUUUUUGUGAAACAGAAGUUGGCUGAUGUCCACAGCGCGCUCAUGUGUUCCGCCGUCUGCUGCAUUUCAAAGAGGGUUGCGGCACCAAGAAAAUAAAUCAAUAAAUAAAUAAAUAAAAUAAUGGGCAGAACAUCCCAUAAUUCUGAAUGUGAGGCAACAGAUGUUGAUGGUGAAGAAAGAGGCUCUCAGGACUCGGGCCUGUAGAGCUGGCCAUUGUUCGGCCUCAGAGCCAUUUAUGUGGUCGCCAUGGCAACGCUACGCCACUUUUAUCCAUUUCCCUUCGCCGGACGCAUGCUAAUGCGAGAUCAUAGCUCUUAUUGACAAAGAUGAUAGAAGCUGAACAACAAACAGUACCACGUGGAUGAAAGGCAACAGGGCUCCAAGCUUUCAUGUAGAAGGUGCAAAACAGAGUUUUAUUUAGCAGCGCACAGUUUGUUUGAUUAUCAUUAUGAGCAUAAAGCGAACAGAAUAUUUUAUGAUGUUCUAAGCUGUUUACAGCUUCUUAAAAUGUCUCAAUGGUGGCACUUGUUAUUGGAAUCUAGUUGGUGAAAUGUCAGAAGGACCACGUUGAGGUUGUCAGUCAUAUCUGGUCUGUUCUAGAACAAGCUGCACGUGUCUUGUAGUGGACGCAGAUUGUCUUUUUAUGUGGCAAAAAGACUAUUGUCUGCAGGACCAAAGCUGUCCGUGUCAAAGGCAGUUGUGUCCAGCCAGGUGUCGAUCUGUCUUUGAGCUGCUGGACAAUAGUGGGACUCACUGUCAAGUGCCCCGUGUGUCUCUCUAGUCUCUGUCCUGUCCUUGAUUCGCAGAUCGUGUACAUUCAUUCCUAAAUUAAGUCAGUUCUACAUAACAUGUAUAAGAAAGGUGCGUUUGGCACUUGACGUUUCCAAUUGUUUGAAAUAUUGUGAAUAAUAUUUCCUUGUCUAAUGCAAGAAAGAAAAAAAGAAAAAAAAAUUUAUAAAAGAAAAGUUGAAAUAAAAGAAAGUUGAAAAACCUUAAAUUCUAAAUGUCAAAGAUUUUAAAAUAUGAUGUAUAAUAGUGGCAUAACAGCGGUAAUGUAUCACCACAUUAAGUUCUGUUGUUAUAUAACAAUAAACAAAAUACAAUUUCAGCUUUCAAUUCUUAGAAGAUGCAGUGGAGUAUUUCUUUUUAGUAGACAGCUUGUAUUUAUUUGAUUUGGUUGGUAAGAUUCUUUGAGAUGUUUAUUUAAAGGUUUUAUUUAAUUUUUAUUUAUUUAUUUUAUUUUUAUUAUUUUAUGAAAAAUCCUGUAAAAUCAGCAAAUUUGUGAAAUAUUAUUGCAAUUUAAAAUAAAUGUUUUCUAUUGUAAUAUAUUUUAAAGUGUAAUUAAUUCCUGUGAUGCAAAGCUGAAUUUUCAGCAUCAUUACUCCAGUGUCACAUGAUCCUUCAGAAAUCAUUCUUCAUCCUUAAGAAACAUUUCUUAUUAUUAUCAGCACUGAAAACAGCUUAACAUUUUUGUAGAAAUUAGAAAUUAGAUUCUUUGAUUAAUAAAAAGUUACUUGAAAUAUAAAUAUUUUGUAACAAUGUAAAAGUCUUUACUGCC
Long non-coding RNA from Cyprinus carpio carpio, 2451 nucleotides. The record is from Ensembl. Lineage: Eukaryota; Metazoa; Chordata; Actinopteri; Cypriniformes; Cyprinidae.